UUAAAACGGAGAGUUUGAUCCUGGCUCAGGAUGAACGCUGGCGGUAUGCUUAACACAUGCAAGUCGAACGGUGUCUUCGGACACAGUGGCGGACGGGUGAGUAACGCGUG
RNAcentral lists this ribosomal RNA (110 nucleotides) under Nostoc sp. ATCC 53789. Its description in RNAcentral is "partial 16S ribosomal RNA". It matches the Rfam family "Bacterial small subunit ribosomal RNA", at positions 1 to 119 of the family's 1533-position model. The record is from RNAcentral. Lineage: Bacteria; Bacillati; Cyanobacteriota; Cyanophyceae; Nostocales; Nostocaceae.